Molecule: ribosomal RNA, 520 nt
Filed under: uncultured Glomus
Lineage: Eukaryota; Fungi; Glomeromycota; Glomeromycetes; Glomerales; Glomeraceae
Description: SSU rRNA
Rfam family: Eukaryotic small subunit ribosomal RNA
Source: RNAcentral
AGCAGCCGCGGUAAUUCCAGCUCCAAUAGCGUAUAUUAAAGUUGUUGCAGUUAAAAAGCUCGUAGUUGAAUUUCGGGAUCAGAGUGUCGGUCGUGCCUCGGUACGCACUGGUAUUAUUGGUUCCUACCUUCUGAAGAACCGCGAUGUCAUUAAUUUGGUGUCGUGGGGAAUCAGGACUGUUACUUUGAAAAAAUUAGAGUGUUUAAAGCAGGCUUACGCUUGAAUACAUUAGCAUGGAAUAAUGAAAUAGGACGUUUGAUUCUAUUUUGUUGGUUUCUAGGAUUGACGUAAUGAUUAAUAGGGAUAGUUGGGGGCAUUAGUAUUCAAUUGUCAGAGGUGAAAUUCUUGGAUUUAUUGAAGACUAACUACUGCGAAAGCAUUUGCCAAGGAUGUUUUCAUUAAUCAAGAACGAAAGUUAGGGGAUCAAAGACGAUCAGAUACCGUCGUAGUCUUAACCAUAAACUAUGCCGACUAGGGAUCGGAUGAUGUUAAUUUUUAAUGACUCAUUCGGCGCCUUACG